RNAcentral lists this ribosomal RNA (460 nucleotides) under uncultured bacterium. Its description in RNAcentral is "partial 16S ribosomal RNA". It matches the Rfam family "Bacterial small subunit ribosomal RNA", at positions 338 to 795 of the family's 1533-position model. The record is from RNAcentral.
CCUACGGGCGGCAGCAGUGAGGAAUAUUGGUCAAUGGGCGGAAGCCUGAACCAGCCAAGUCGCGUGAGGGAUUAAGGCCCUGCGGGUCGUAAACCUCUUUUGCCGGGGAGCAGAGGUCCGGACGUGUCCGGGCCGGGAGAGUACCCGGAGAAAAAGCAUCGGCUAACUCCGUGCCAGCAGCCGCGGUAAUACGGAGGAUGCGAGCGUUAUCCGGAUUUAUUGGGGUUAAAGGGGGCGUGGGCGGGCAUUUAAGCCGGCGGUCAAAUGUCGGGGCUCAACCCCGGCCUGCCGUCGGAACUGGGUGCCUUGAGUGGGCGAGAAGUAUGCGGAAUGCGUGGUGUAGCGGUGAAAUGCAUAGAUAUCACGCAGAACCCCGAUUGCGAAGGCAGCAUACCGGCGCCCUACUGACGCUGAGGCACGAAAGUGCGGGUAUCGAACAGGAUUAGAUACCCCAGUAGUC